ACUGACAGCAUUAAGUAUGGGUUGAGCAUUCUGCAGGGUAUACAAAGUGAAAGCAAAAGCUUGAAGAAAUCACUCAAGGAUGUGGUCACUGAGAAUGAAUUUGAGAAGAAACUUUUGGCCGAUGUUAUUCCUCCUAGUGACAUUGGAGUGACCUUUGAUGACAUUGGUGCAUUAGAGAAUGUUAAAGAUACCUUGAAGGAACUGGUGAUGCUUC
This 214-nucleotide unclassified non-coding RNA is filed under the name Hevea brasiliensis (rubber tree). The record is from RNAcentral. Lineage: Eukaryota; Viridiplantae; Streptophyta; Magnoliopsida; Malpighiales; Euphorbiaceae.